RNAcentral lists this ribosomal RNA (364 nucleotides) under uncultured bacterium. RNAcentral describes it as "bacterial SSU rRNA". It matches the Rfam family "Bacterial small subunit ribosomal RNA", at positions 29 to 418 of the family's 1533-position model. The record is from RNAcentral.
AACGAACGCUGGCGGCAUGCCUAACACAUGCAAGUCGAACGAAUGGUUUCGGCUAUUAGUGGCGCACGGGUGAGUAACGCGUGGGAAUCUGCCCAGCAGUGGGGGAUAACCUCUGGAAACGGAGGCUAAUACCGCAUACGCCCCUCGGGGGAAAGGCUUGCUGCUGCUGGAGGAGCCCGCGUCGGAUUAGGUAGUUGGUGGGGUAACGGCCUACCAAGCCUGUGAUCCGUAGCUGGUCUGAGAGGAUGAUCAGCCACACUGGGACUGAGACACGGCCCAGACUCCUACGGGAGGCAGCAGUGGGGAAUAUUGGACAAUGGGCGCAAGCCUGAUCCAGCAAUGCCGCGUGAGUGAUGAAGGCCUC